CCCGCGCUCCUCCGGGCAGAGCGCGUGUGGCGGCCGAGCACAUGGGCCCGCGGGCCGGGCGGGCUCGGGGCGGCCGGGACGAGGAGGGGCGACGACGAGCUGCGAGCAAAGAUGUGCCCCGGGACCCCCGGCACCUUCCAGUGGAUUUCCUUGCGGAAAGGAUGUUGGCGGUCCCUGUGACCUGUGGAGACACGGCCAGAUCUGCCCUCCAGCCUGAUCUUUUGGCCAGAAGGAGAUUAAAAAGAUGCCCCUCAAGAUGGCUGUGCCUGUCAGCUGCAUGGAGCUUCGUUCAAGUAUUUUCUGAGCCUGAUGGAUUUACAGUGAUCUUCAGUGGUCUGGGGAAUAACGCUGGUGGAACCAUGCACUGGAAUGACACACGCCCGGCACAUUUCAGGAUACUAAAAGUGGUUUUAAGGGAGGCUGUGGCUGAAUGCCUCAUGGAUUCUUACAGCUUGGAUGUCCAUGGGGGACGAAGGACUGCAGCUGGCUGAGAGGGUUGAGAUCUCUGUUUACUUAGAUCUCUGCCAACUUCCUUUGGGUCUCCCUAUGGAAUGUAAGACCCCGACUCUUCCUGGUGAAGCAUCUGAUGCACGUUCCAUCCGGCGCUCAGCUGGGCUUGAGCUGACCAUACUCCCUGGAGCCUUCUCCCGAGGUGCGCGGGUGACCUUGGCACAUACAGCCAUCAUGAUGGUACUUUAAGUGGAGGCUGAAUCAUCUCCCCUUUGAGCUGCUUGGCACGUGGCUCCCUUGGUGUUCCCCUUUUACUGCCAGGACACUGAGAUUUGGAGAGAAUCCUGUUACACCUGGGAUUUAGGCACUUUCAAUCUGAAAAAAUACAUAUCCUUUCAGCACUCUGGACGGACUUGAGAACUGUCCUUACGUGACCUAAAGCUGGAGUAUUUUGAGAUUGGAGAAUUAAGAGUGUGGGCACCCUGGCUUCAAGCUCACGAGAAACCAGAAGGAAGUCACUGUGCAUAGCCAUCCCCUAAGAAGAGGGCAUUCCUGCUCUUCCUUCUCCAUGGCUAGAGGAUCUACAUGAACUAUUUAGAUUUUUUCUACCUGGGAGAUUUAACUCCUCUCUCCUAUUUAUUUAUUUAUAUAUCAGCAUGGACUUGCAGGCCAACAGAGAUUUUGAGAAACACAUUGAAGGAUCUGUUAACACUUGAUAUACCCAAUAAAAGCAGUGGUUGUGCCAGUGCUGAUCUGUCUUGAUGUGAAUGUGAACAAUGGGAACCUGAGCUGAGCAGUUAAUGCUAGGGUGACAGAAACUGGACCUCUCCCAAGACAUGUGACAGAGUAAUACAGCAGCCAACUUCUUCGCCAAAUUAAAGUUUUACAAGAUUUAACCUGUCAUCAAGACCUGGGAUUUUGGUGAGCCAGUCUUGGUGCUCUGUGUUCACCUGGUUCAUCUGAGGAGCUGCAUCUACCCUGCCCAUGCCAUAGAUCCUGCCCUGUUUGCUUCUCCUGUUGCUGCUAGUGGACAUGAGAAGGACAGAAUAACGGGCUCCCAGAUUCACAAGCCCCACCAAGAGGAUCACCCCAGGAACGCUUGGAGGCUGAGGAGUUCACUGAGGCUACUGCAUCUUGAGACUCAGGAUGAAGACCCAGCUUGGGGCUGUCAAAGGUUUUUUGCAUGUCUGACACCCAUGACUCCACCUGGACCUUAUGGCUCCACCCAGAAGCAAUUCAGCCCAACAGGAGGACAGCUUCAACCCAUUACGAUUUCAUCUCUGCCCCAACCACUCAGCAGCAAGCACCUGUUACCUGUCCACCCCCACCCCUUCCCCCAAACUGCCUUUGAAAAAUCCCUAACCUAUGAGCUUUGAAUAAGAUGAGUACGAACUUCAUCGCCCACGUGGCGUGGCCGGCCUCGUGUCUAUUAAAUUCUUUUUCUACUACAA
RNAcentral lists this long non-coding RNA (1901 nucleotides) under Homo sapiens (human). RNAcentral describes it as "Pvt1 oncogene, transcript variant 25 (PVT1)". The stretch from base 34 to 211 matches the Rfam family "Pvt1 oncogene conserved region 1". Lineage: Eukaryota; Metazoa; Chordata; Mammalia; Primates; Hominidae. The record is from RNAcentral.